UAUUGUCCGACGUCGUCUUCGCCGAAUCGUCAAAAGUGGACAGCGAGAAGGCGUUUCGUUUUUUGAGCGCAGGAAGGAGCGCGCGUACAUACAAAAUAAGUGCUGAGAUGACGAGAACAGGGUUUGGGAAAAGGAAGAAAAAUUGG
This is a non-coding RNA of Caenorhabditis elegans, 146 nucleotides long. The record is from Ensembl. NCBI's taxonomy places the organism in Eukaryota, Metazoa, Nematoda, Chromadorea, Rhabditida, Rhabditidae.